CCCCCGGGGCCUUAACCCUGGAGAAAUGGCCUUCAAGGACUGCGGAGGCCUAGAGUCGCGACAGAAGGAAGGUGAAUCUCCCGUGUUAGCCAGUGAAUGCGUAAGAGAUGUGGAAGGAACCCCGAUGGCGAAAGGCAGCCUCCUGGGCCAGCACCUGACCGCUCAUGCACGAAGACGUGAGGAGCAAACAGGAUGUAGAUUCCCCUGGUAGUUCCACGGCACUUAACGAUGUCAACUAGGGUGUGGGGGAAGGGUGACUUCCUUAGUACCGCACGCUAACGCGUGAAGUUGACCCGCCUGGGGAGUACGGCACGCAAGGUUAAAAACUCAAAGGAAUUGACGGGGACCCGCACAAGCGGUGGAUGAUGUGGAUUAAUUCGAUGCAACGCGAAAAACCUUACCUACCCUUGACAUGCUUGGAACCCUGCUGAGAGGUGGGGGUGCCCGAAAGGGAGCCGGGACACAGGUGCUGCAUGGCUGUCGUCAGCUCGUGUCGUGAGAUGUUGGGUUAAGUCCCGCAACGAGCGCAACCCUUGUCGUUAAUUGCCACCAUUUAGUUGGGCACUUUAACGAGACUGCCGGUGACAAACCGGAGGAAGGUGGGGAUGACGUCAAGUCCUCAUGGCCCUUAUGGGUAGGGCUUCACACGUCAUACAAUGGCGCAUACAGAGGGUUGCGAAGCCGCGAGGUGAAGCCAAUCCCAGAAAGUGCGUCGUAGUCCGGAUUGCAGUCUGCAACUCGACUGCAUGAAGUCGGAAUCGCUAGUACUCUUAUGUCCCCAUGUCGCGGUGAAUACGUUCCCGGGUCCUGCUUAAUCGCCCCCGUC
RNAcentral lists this ribosomal RNA (826 nucleotides) under uncultured bacterium. RNAcentral's name for it is "bacterial SSU rRNA". It matches the Rfam family "Bacterial small subunit ribosomal RNA", at positions 599 to 1398 of the family's 1533-position model. The record is from RNAcentral.